This 393-nucleotide ribosomal RNA is filed under the name uncultured bacterium. Its description in RNAcentral is "partial 16S ribosomal RNA". It matches the Rfam family "Bacterial small subunit ribosomal RNA", at positions 523 to 918 of the family's 1533-position model. The record is from RNAcentral.
AUACGGAGGAUACAAGCGUUAUCCGGAUUUAUUGGGUUUAAAGGGUGCGCAGGCGGACCGCUAAGUCAGGGGUGAAAGGUGGGGGCUUAAUUCAAAUCGGCCCUUUGAUACUGGCGGAUUGAGGUGCGAUAGCCGGGGCCGGAUGGGGGCGGGUAGCGGUGAAAUGCUUAGAUAUGCCACAGAACACCGAUCGAGAAGUCAGGUCACGAGUUCGCAACUGACGCUCAUGCACGAAAGCGUGGGGAUCAAACAGGAUUAGAUACCCUGGUAGUCCACGCCGUAAACGAUGAUCACUCGUUGCCGGGCAGUGAUGUUCGGUGGCCAAGCGAAAGCGAUAAGUGAUCCACCUGGGGAGUACGAUCGCAAGGUUGAAACUCAAAUGAAUUGACGGGG